CUCGUUCUUUUUCAGCUCCCUCCCCGCUGUCCCCGUUUCUCAGACCCAGCUCUCCUCUGCUCAUUUUUUGGUUACAUCUGGAAGUUCCAAAAUCCAUUUUUGUAGGAAGUCACACACUGGAGAGGGUGGGGGAGGACGGAGAAGUCAAGCAGGCCAAGAUUUGAAACUGGUGGAUGGACGGCUUCUCAGGGAACAGACACAACACUAUCGGACCCUCCCACUCAGAAUCCUUAUGCGUUAA
This 241-nucleotide long non-coding RNA is filed under the name Vulpes vulpes (red fox). RNAcentral describes it as "lncRNA (ENSVVUG00000025584.1)". Lineage: Eukaryota; Metazoa; Chordata; Mammalia; Carnivora; Canidae. The record is from RNAcentral.